RNAcentral lists this ribosomal RNA (253 nucleotides) under uncultured bacterium. Its description in RNAcentral is "partial 16S ribosomal RNA". It matches the Rfam family "Bacterial small subunit ribosomal RNA", at positions 524 to 776 of the family's 1533-position model. The record is from RNAcentral.
UACGAAGGGGACUAGCGUUGCUCGGAAUCACUGGGCGUAAAGCGCACGUAGGCGGCCGAUCAAGUCAGAGGUGAAAGCCUGGAGCUUAACUCCAGAACUGCCUUUGAUACUGUUUGGCUAGAGUUCGGAAGAGGUUGGUGGAACUGCAAGUGUAGAGGUGAAAUUCGUAGAUAUUUGCAAGAACACCAGUGGCGAAGGCGGCCAACUGGUCCGAUACUGACGCUGAGGUGCGAAAGCGUGGGGAUCAAACAGG